RNAcentral lists this small RNA (389 nucleotides) under Histoplasma capsulatum. RNAcentral describes it as "hypothetical RNA". RNAcentral also lists the same sequence under 1 other name. The record is from RNAcentral. Lineage: Eukaryota; Fungi; Ascomycota; Eurotiomycetes; Onygenales; Ajellomycetaceae.
GGUGGGAUCCAGGACGAUCGUCCUGUCAACGCCCAAUUCCCCCAGCUGCAUAUCCAGCUCCCUCAGCGCGCCUUUCGAAUCAUCCCAACUUCCACUCUCAUAGACGGAAACGUAUAUGUUCUCUUUCCCGAACUUCCUCGCUAACUCGACAACGGCGGCAUUCCAAUGGCUGCGCAGGAUGGCCUCAUUGUUCCAGUGCGUGCUGGCCACAUAGACGGACCUUAUCCCUGGAACGAGUGCUGUAUUUGCAGACACUCGCGACGAGGAUGAGCGGGAAGAUAGCGCCAAUGACGACGUGGAGAAGGUGAGGUAAUCGACGACGGCGAAGAAGAGGACGCAGGAGAUGAACAGGACGCUCAGAUGUCCAUGCAAGCCGCGGUGGGCGAAGA